UUGAAAAUUGCCACAUCUUUCAAUUAAUGAAAUAUGUUUAGGUAAGUUAAAAUAGCAGCUAUUGACAAUUGAUAUAACAAGAUAGAUUUUGUUUAUUUUAAAAAGAAAGUGAAAUUUCUCUACCAAUUAUGAAAGGUUGUUUCUUCCUCCAAGAUACAUUUUUGCCGCUGUUUCAUCACUGGUUGUUUCUCUUCAAAUCUCAAAUUCAAAUCUAAAGCACAAAAUCUAUCAACGCAAGAGAAAGAGAACAAAACAAAUGCUCUGAUUCCAAAAGCUACCUUUGAGCAGUAAGAAAAGUAACAAAUAUACCUCAAUGAAACGAAACCUCAGAAAUAUCCAAAGCUCAAUCACCAUGAACAAUCACGGAUGAAGACGAAACACAUUACAAAGAUUAGAGAGACAAAUGAAGAACCAAGCGAUGAGCAAAGUGGAGAAUUGGGCGAUGAACGAGAGUAGCAAACAAACAAUGCGAAAGCGAAAAAUGUAUUUUCAUUGGUAUGUGGUAACAUUUGAUCUUCCAGGUGUUACUGAAAGUGUCAAAUAAGGAGUCUCUGCAACAUUUUCUUAAAUGUUAUAGAUAAAAUGUUGCAACAUGUCAUAUAUGUACUAGUGUUCUUCUAGUAAGAAANCACAGAGAGAUAGUACUUUUCCUGAACGACUCGUCUUUCGGGAAGAGUGCUUCGAGAAUCUCAAACGCACCCAAAGCAGGCUUAAGAGCCAAGACUUCUCCUCGGCCAUCCAUGAAGAGGAGAGGACAUACACUAUACUCGCUAGCGACGCGAUUGCCUAUCAGGAAGACAGGAAUAACCCACGGCAUCAACAUACACUUAAAUAAGCAUCAUCUUGUGGCUAGCAAUAUCCUAAGACAUUACAAAUACAACUAAAGAUACGCUAGAGAGGCUUCGGCCAAAUGCUGGCAAUAAUGUGUAUCGGUAAAAAAGAAGAGAUCCGCGGAAGAGCAACACAAAAGAACGUGCAAACAUGCAGACUACUGUACUAGCACUGUACUAUCACGCCUGAUGAGGAAGCUAAAGUGCAAGCUCUACAUUGGAUGACAACUAAUACUUUGCUUAAAUCUCUCUUGAAAUGUGCGGAGCUAAUCGAGUUUGUGGAUCAACUUGUGCAAUAAACUUGCAUCGCCGCUGCAUUUCAGCCAGGGAAUGUAGGAAAAUUCGGUAACGAACCGAUUGAUUCUUAGUACCAACAUUAGCGGAAAGUUUGGUUAAUCACCGAGGAUACGCUCAAAUUGAAAUGCGCGUAAGACGAUGGAGUGCUAAUACUGUUUUUCAAAGAAAUUGCAGUAAAGCAUGCAACACUGUCGACAUGUCUGUGGAACUGAUGAUUUACAACUCGCAUAUGUAAAGACUAUAAGAUAUGAUUGAAAGAGAAAAAAGAUGUAAAAGAAGCUGAGUAAUAAUCAGAUGCGCAAAGGCAGAUGUUCGAGCAAAAAGAGCAUAUGAAGACUGUUUUUUUGGAUAUCGCUUAAUAACGCACAUUUUCCACGAUGCGUUAUUAUUGAUUUAAAUUUGUACACAACACAGUACGUCAGUCUCUAUUAUAAUGUAGGCUCAAUUUUUUUUUUCCGCAUAGCGUGAGUUAAUAUCCUUCAUAACUGAACACCAAUGAUAGAACAACUGUAUAGCACUACAUUAACAUACCAUAUAAAACAAUUUUUUUAUUCCUGGAAAGGACCACUCUCCGAAAUAAUGAUUCGACGGGAAGCAUAUGCAUCUCCGGACGUACAAUUCAAAUAUAAAUGGGGGCUCUGAAUUUCAGGGGUGUAUAUUGCAUAAAUGUUAAUAAUAUUGAAUGCUCAUAAAUGUGGAUUCUACGCAACAAGCACCAAUUGCUCAAAAUAUGUUAAUAUAUUUCAGAAAAUAACAGGCCUCCGAAGAUGUGCAUCUUGCCGGAAAUUGAAACGGCAGUUUCCAUAAUUUGCCUAAGCCUGUUUUAAGACAAUCUUGCAAGAUGCUUAUACUUGAAAAUUAUAUCGAUAGCCGGCUAUGACUAUUGAUAAUUUUAUUUAUGUUUUCAUAUUGUUGCAGACCAAUCCGAAUACCAGGGAGAAAAGUGUUAGCAGUUGCCAAAAACAAGAACAAAAGCGUCUUGUUUCUUCUUCCGGUCGGUUCGCCGUCUUGCACUCGCAUUCACUCUAUUGUCAGUACUAUGAAAAACGAAUGGGGCAACCGAUCCGUUUAAUAGUGUUAUCAAAAAAUCUAAGAACCCAUUGCUGUCAAAUGCGUAUUCUCAUUCAUCUCUUGCUUGCACUGCCAACACCCAUUCCGCAUUCUUCUUCUUCUUCUUGCUCACAUCGGGUUCCUGCCAACCAGAGUUGCCAGAACUCAUUGCUCCCGGCCAAUGCAGACCCUCUUCUGCGCGCAAAGAAAUUCUUCCGAUUACGCUUCUCUCCAACCCAAUUUCCGACCACAACUACUCCACCGUACCUCAUUCUCAUUCCUCAAAUCGGUGCGCUCCAAACACUUCUCUUCUCCUCGACCGAUCUCGCUCCGUCGGCCUCAAUCGAAUCCAACCGCAUUACCCCCACCCUCUUCUCUUACCUAAUCAAAAUCCUACGGCGAGAGCCAAUUUACUCUGACAAAGCCUCAACACAUUCUAGCCCAUGCUUCAAUUCAAUAUCAGACCUUUAAAACACACCUUAAGCCGCCAUUCUUGAGAUUCUCGUUUCUCGCCGGAAUUAUGUUCGACCGCUUUCGAUCUCUUUAAGGAUGCUCAAUAGACAUGGUGUGGCUCCUGAUACGUAGAUCGAUAUAACAUUCUCAUGCGGGCUUUUUUGUCUUAAGGUACCAUCAGUAUUGAGCAUACACACUGUUAUGAACAAAAUGUUUAAGAGAGAUGUUGUUCGCUGAUAUGCAGCUCUUAUAGGAUUUUGAUGCAGGCUUUUCUGUAGAAGAGUCAAGUUAAUGGAGCUGUUGAUCUUUGAGGUAUAUGCUUGAAUAAAGGGUUGUUGUCUCCUGAUUCUUGACUUAUACUACUUGUUGAAUAGUUUGUGUAGGAAAGAAGAAGCUUAGGGACGCUAUAAGCUUCUUCUGUAGGAUGAAGGUUAAAGGGUGAUAAUCCUGAUAUAGUCAUUACAAUACGGUUAUAUUAGGGUUUUGUAGAGAAGGGCGAGCUCGAUGAUGCUUGCAAGGUUAUCGAUGAUAUGCGGCGCGAAUGGGUGUUUGCGCGAAUUUUGUUCUCUAUAGCGACUUUGGUAAUGGUUUGUCGUCAUUUGGGAAUGUUUGAUGAGGCAAGGCAGUAUGUGGAGAACAUGGCUUUCCAAAGGUUUUUCUCCACACUUUGCUGUCAUGCCAUGCUUUGGUGAAUGGCUUUUUGCAAUGUUGGUAGGGUUGAGGAAGCCUGUGGAGUUCUCACGAGUUCGCUAGACCAUGGGGAAGCUCCUCAUAAGGAUACUUGGAUGAUUGUGGUACCUCAAAUAUGUGAAGCUGGAGGAAGGAGGAUGUGAGCAAUUGGUGGUGUUUUGGAGGACAUGUCUUAAGAUUGAAAUCAAUAGGUGAUACUAGAUUGUGGAUGCUCGGCAUUGGUUUGGAAGACUACUUGAUUAGGAAGAUAACGGGCUAAGGCGAGUCAGUUUUAAACUUUUUUGUAAUAUAAAAACCGACAAGCUUGCGUUUGUCAUCCAUGUAAGAUAUUUGUAUUCGUAAGCAUUAACGGUGACGAGAUAUCAUUUGAUUAUUCUUACUAGAAGAACACUAGUAGCAUAACGGUUAUGAAAGAAUUUUUGUUUUAUGAACAGCAAUUGAUCGUUAGAAUAUUGACUUCGAGCAUAAAAUGAGGUCAUUUUGUUAGGUAUGAUGUUUUGAUUGUAAACUUGGAGCUUCGAGUGAAGAGCUGAGAGUUACAAUCUUGCUUCUUCUCAUACAGCUCCAUAAAACAAUAGCCGUUUAUCAAACAGGAAUGAAACCAAUUUCAUUCUUUUUGUAAAUUUUUAUGGCAUAAAUUCGUGUAACAUUAUCAACAACAUUGGUAUUAAAUCAGUUUACGGUUUGUUUUAGGAUUAAAAUCUUUUUCUUACUUAGCUACAUAGUAAAAUAAAAUAUUUUUUGGUUUUAUAUAUCUGCAAGCACGCAGAUGAUAGUUGAAGGUUUUCGCUAGUAUUUUUUUCUUCACCAAAGUUUGAACUCUGGUCCUUUAAUCCUUUGCUCAAACCAGUUAAGCUACCCAACCCAACCCAUGAAAUAAGCAAAGAUAAGUGUUAGAAACUAAGACCUGGCAAGCUAAACAAUAAAUGCUUGGACACAAAGAUAAGUGUUAGAAUUUAAGGCCUGGUAAGCGAAACAAUAAAAGCUUGGACUUAACUGCUACUGUGGGAAUGGCCACGUUCUGCUUUUUUUCUUUCUUUCUUCAGAAUUGGUAAUCUAAGGGUGUAAAUCGAUUAACACUUCUCACACUCUUCAAUAAUUGAGUUUCUUUUUCAAAAGAAUAAGUGUCAAAGUUAUUGCAAUCAAGCAUUCUUUGCAUGUCGAACAUGUGUGAUACGACAUUGUAAUAAUUGUAUGGCAUGGAGAUAUAUAAAUCAAUUUUCAGAUGCUUCUAAGAAAUUGUCUUGUGAUGAUUUGAAAGCUGAGUGUUACAAUGGGAAUUCUGUUAUCAAUCCACACUUAUCGCUAACCUGAUAGGUUUUGGCAUAAGAUUAGUUUUAUAUCUCUAACGCCAACCAUACUUAGAGCUAAUAUGAUAGGUUUAGGCAUAAGAUUAGUUUUACAUAUCUCUUAACACCAACCAACAAAUAUAGCUAACAUGAUAGGUUUAGGCAUAAGGUUAGUUGUGGAUAUUAAGGGUUCAAUUGGGUUCUCAAUAUUCUAUUCAUGAUUAUAUAUAAUCUAUUGGCUCUUGUUGUGUCUUGUAUAAUAAAAUAAACCACUUUAUUUUGUUAAAUAUAAAUUCUAUUAUAUUGAUUUAUUUUCAGGGCAACAAUGGCAUCCAUCUCAGCUGUGAAUAUUUCCCCACUAUGCAUGUUUCAACCCGCAAACCGCAUUCAAUCAACCAGUGCUACCUUAGUGAAGUGCCCUUCCGCUUUUGGCUCUAUGAGAAGUGUUUCCAGAUCUUUUGGCUUGAAGUCAUCCUCUUCAUAUAGAACAACUGCCAUGGCUGCUUACAAGAUUAAGCUAAUUGGACCAGAUGGAAAAGAGGACGAGUUUGAAGCUGCUGAUGAUGUCUACAUCUUAGAUGCAGCAGAGAAUGCCGGAGUCGAACUCCCUUACUCGUGCCGUGCUGGAGCGUGCUCUACUUGUGCUGGAAAGGUUGUUUCUGGCUCAGUGGAUCAAUCUGAUGGCUCAUUCUUGGAUGAUACUCAACUUAAGGAAGGCUUUGUGCUUACCUGUGUUUCCUAUCCCACAGCAGACUGUGUUAUCCAAACUCAUAAGGAAGGUGAACUCUACUGAGAAAUUGUGGCUUGAAAGUUAAAACCAUUGCUCGAGGAAACUGAGAAUUUAAGGUAGAUUUUAUGGCGGAUUUUGCUUUAGAAUCUAUCUUUCUUUUAGCAUUAUUAAUAGUGAUAUGGGUUUUAGAAGAUGGUAAGUUUGACAUUUAAAUGUGAUCAAGGGUGUUAUUUUAGUUAUGAAGAACAUGAUGAAGUAUUUGGAGGAAGAAACAACCUUUCAUAAUUGGUAGAGAAAUUUCACUUUCUUUUUAAAAUAAACAAAAUCUAUCUUGUUAUAUCAAUUGUCAAUAGCUGCUAUUUUAACUUACCUAAACAUAUUUCAUUAAUUGAAAGAUGUGGCAAUUUUCAACUAGGGAAUAAGUUGUUAUAGUUUAUUUUUUCAGUUGGUUUAAAUUAAGUUAAAUAUAUAAAAUAUAACCUGCAUAACUCAAUUUAAAUAGUAACUAUUUUUUUGAUACGUAUAACAGUGAGAAAGCUAGCAAAUUUGAAGAUUUGAUAUUAUUGUCCUUUGCAAUGUUUACCUAUGUAUGUUUCAAAAUUCAAAGAACAAUAUAUUAGUUUGAUUUUUAAAAUCAUUUUGACAAAACUUCGAUUUUAAAUAGAUUUUGAUUUUAAUCAAAAUUAUUUAAUUUAAUUUAAAUUUUAUUUUUUUUAAAUUAAUAUUAAUUUUUAAAAUUUAAAACCAUAAAUAAAUUUUAUGAGAUUUUAAAAUAUUAUUUCUUUUAAAAUUUAAAAAAACAUAAAAGAAACAAAUUCUUUAGAAAAAAAAUUGAAAUAAUAAAAUUAUUUUCUGAAAAUGAAAAAAAAAAAUUGAAAACAAAAAAAAUCUUUAAAAAAAGUUAUUCCAAAAAAUAAAAAUAACUGAAAAAAAUUUAUUUAAAGAAAAAUGGAAAUUGGAAAUAAAAAAAUUAUAAAAAUACAAAAUAUUUUUUAUUCUGAAAUUAUAAAAAAUUAUUAUUUAAAUUUUUUUUUUGAAAUUAAAUUUUUUUUUAUUCUGAAAAUUUGAAAAAUUAAUUUACUGAAAAAAAUAUAAAAUAUUUUUUAUUUAGAAGAAAAUAAUAAUUUUAUUUGAAAAAAAUAUUAAAUUAAAAAAAUUCUGAAUAUAAUAUUUUUUGUAAAAAAAUAUUUUUAAAAUAAUUUUUUUAUGAAAUUUAAAAAUAUUUAAAAUAUAAAAUUAAUUUUAAUGUGAUAAAAAUGGAAAGAGACAAAAAUAAAAAUUUUAGUAAAAUUUAGAUAUCCAAUAACAAAACCUAAUUUUUAUAAUGGAUAACAGUUUAUAUUUGAAUAACAAAAUGAAUAUUCAAAUUUUUAUUUUAAUAUUUGGUUUGAUUUUUUAAAAAUAGAAUAAUUUAAUACUAAUUUAAUUAUGAAUAAACCGUUUUUUUUCACAUCCCUAUAUAUCAUAGUCAUUUUUCUUGCUAACUAAAUAUUUAUUUUCACAGCUUAUAAAAUAUUUUGCCAUGUCAGCAUCUGUAAUAAAUUAUACGAAUUAAAAAAAAGGAUAAAAAUAAUGCUUUCCAACCACAAAUCAAAUUUAAGAAUCUAUUACUAGUAAAAUAAGUGUUAACAUCUUAUACCGUCCACUUGAAAUAAUUGAUUUAUAAUUAGUUUUAUAAAAAUUAAAUAUUUAAACACUAAUAUAUUUUACUCCAAAAAGUAUAAUAACAUAUAUAACAAAUUAUUUAUACAAUAGCAACUAAGUUUUAUUCCACUAAUAUGGUCUUAUCUUCUGGACUAUAGUUUUUUUUAAGUGUUUCUCUAUAUCUAAGUGUUUGAUUCAUUUUCAUUUAACAUAUCUUCUUUAGAAAAUUGCGUAAGACAUCAUAAAGAUUGUUACUAUACUUUCGUAAAAAAAUAAAAAUAUUUUUAAGAUUCAGAGAUGUAUUGUUAGACUAAUCCCAAAUAUAUUUGGUUCUCAGUCUGAUCUUAAGACUAUGUAAAAAAAAUUACGGAAAUUAAUCUUCCUAUAAAUUAUGGAGAUGCUUCUCUUGACACUAUUUUAAUAAAAAAUACGUCAGAUUCUUUCUCAUUCCUCGCUUUUUAAAAUACUCUCUCAACUCCUAUUCUCUCAUAGUCAUUCAACUCACUUUAAAUUUUCUUUCAUCAACAUCAAAUCGAUCAAAGAGUUUACUCAACAUCAAACUAAACUCACAAUUGAUAAGUUUAUGAUUUUUUUUUUUAAUUUCUAUAUACAUUUGUAGGAAUUGAGCAUUAAGUUAUGUAAUAUGUAAUUUAGAUAUGUUAGUGAAAUGAAUAAUGUGUUUAAUAGAUAGUUUAAAUGAUCAAUGCAUUAUUUUGGAUGUUGGUAUAAACUGCAUUUCCGCCAUUAACAUGCUUUUGAGUUGUAGUACCUUAUGGAGAUGCAUCUCUAGAUUUUUUCAAUGUUUUGAUUUCUAGAAUCUAGAGAUGUAUCUCCGGAACUUUUUCAGUUUGCUUUGUUUGGCUUGAUCUCAUUGUGUUUCAUAUGUAUAAUGCUUGUGUGAUUUACUUACAGACAAUAUGGUUGAUAACCUAGAUAGAUUGAGGCAUAACAGAGUUGCACAUCAUGCAUAGAGGGAAAAAGCUCGCUCAUCGCAUGCACCUGUUGUUUUUAGCCCGAUUGAUGCGAGAGCGUCAACUUUUGAGGCUCAUGCAUUUCCACCUUACAUGUGUCACCUACUCAGACACCUGAGGCACUGGAGGCACCUAAGGCUCCGCAGGCACCUGAGGCACACGAGGGAUUUGGAGGAGGUCCUUCAGACUUAUUACUCCUGCGUCUAUACCCGAACCAUGAUGCCAGACAUGUCUAGGACGGAAAGGUAAAAUUAAGUUGUAUUCCUUCUUUGAAAUAUCAUUUUUAUAAUAUUCGAAGUUUUCGACGAUGAGUUAUUUUCCUGCAGGACCAUGAUGCCUUAAAAUUUAUCAACCAUGGUCAAAAGAUUACGGGUCAACAACAACCUAAUGAGCAUUGGUCUAAGGAUGUGAUGCAACUAUCUGGGCUGAGAGACUUAUGCAAUAUCGAUUAUGUUACAGUUAACCAUGGUAUGCUAUCAACAUUUGUAGAGAGCACUCGAAGACGACAUCAUUUCAUUUUUCACACAGUGAGAUGUUUAUCACACUAGACGAUGUCUCGUGCCUGCUGCAUCUUUCGAUCAUGGGGAGACUGUUAGAUUACAACAAAAUUAACAUAGAUGACACAAUGGAGACGAUUGUAGACUAGCUUGGAGCUGACCCAGAGAAUGCCAUGCCAUACAUCGAAAAAUCCAUGAGCGCAUCGCACGCUCGAAGAUACAACAGAGUCGCCACCGAACUAUAUUUAUUCUAAAAGGAAAGAGAAAAUAUCGAUAAAAUCCAAGGGAAAGAGAAAUGGGUAAGGAAGUCGGUUAUGCAAGGGGAGGGUAUUAACAUCCCUCACAUUUGUUGUACUUAACGAGAACCAUUUUUAUUGUUCUUUGCUUGAAUGUGUGUUACUAUCUAAAGGUUACUUGCAAAUGAUAAAAGGGAAAAAAUAAGUUUAUAGUUAGUGUGCUCACCAAGGAUUCAAACCCUCGGGCCUACGUAUUCUCACAAUGCAAUGAGAAAAUCAGAGCUCCGUAGUUCGUGGUAGAAAAUAUAGAUUUGUUGGUUGAUUUUAGGGAACAAUUAUAAUCAUAUUCUAGAAGUGUAUAGACGUUAGCUGAUUAUGAUCCUUGUUCGGAUGCUCUAAACUUUUAGUCUGACUGCUAAUGAACAUAUUAUAACAGUUCUUUUGUGAAAAGAAAGAAAAUUGUUUUGAAAAAACGUUUGUGUGAUAAAAGAAAAAGAAAGAGUUGCUUGAAUAUAAUUAAAAGAAAAGUUGCUUGAACUGUAAAAUAAUUUGAAGUGUAAGAAGAGGAGUAGGAAAUGUAGAAAUGGGUGUGAAAUGUGUUGUGAAAUGACAAAGAAGUUGUUUGUGUAUGGUGACAGUAUUGUUUGAACCAAAAUUAUGUUGUUUGGACCCAUAAGAUAGGUGUGUCUGAGCCAAGGAGUGUGUAAACUAAGGAUGGGGUAUUUUAACCGAUAAACGGUGAUUAACCAUGCAUGAGGGUGUGUUAACCAAGGAGUGGUGAUUAACCCAUGAAUGAAAAUAUGUGGUAUUUUAACCAAUAGACGGUGAUUAACCAAUGCAGGAGUUAUAGGGUUUGUUAAUCGAGAAGUGGUGAUCAACCCAAAGAAUGAGAAUGUGGUAUUUUAACUGAUAUCCGGUGAUUAACCAAUGCGGAAAGUUGCCUGAGCAUGGAGGUAAUAUGGCAAUGCAUGAAAAAAUAACUUCAUCUUCUUCACUUCCAUGUUUGUCUUAUUCUUCUAAGCUUCCAUUGCUUUGCUCCACCACCGGAGGCGGAAGAGUUUUCCGGAACAGUCAAGUUGCAACAUAAAAAAUGCUCAUAUCCAUCUCCUCUUUAUAUAUAUCUCAUCAAUUCAAUUCACCACUCAACCAAUUUUCAGAAUUGCAUCAAGAAAGUGAUGAACCCUAACCUCUAAAACAAAAAUUAAAUGAUAGAGGGGAAGAAUCAAGCCGCCAAACCUUGGGGCUUUGUUUCUUCAAUGCAAGAGCUACAUUAUGGUAUCAAGAUUCAAGCAAACUGAGGCAAAAGAAAAUUCACCGACAUGCAAGACAUAGGUUUGUCUUGGAAAUUGUUGAAAUCUGAAGGUGCUGAAGAUGAAGAAAACCAGAGGUAUGCUACUUUGAACCUUUAAUCUUUUGCUUCUGCAAUGAACUUAUUCCUCUUCAAGAAUUAAUUACGUAAAAUUAUGAACUAGAUUAUUGCUGCUAUUGUUGAUUGUAUGAGUAUGAGAGUAGUAUGGAGUGUAGAAGGUUUAGCUCAAAUGGUGACAAACUUCAAUGUGAAGCUUGCUCCAAUGGUGGUAGAGCUUUGGUGAGGCGAGGGAGAUAAAUUGAGAGAGACAAUUCUGAAUUUAUAGUGGAAUGUUUAGAGAAUGAAUGAUUAUGGUGGUUGUUAUUAUCGUUGUUAUUGGUUGAAGAGUGUGGUGAGUUUAUAUAGAUGAAUUUCCCAACUGUUUCGGGCAUCUCUGUUAGAGGUUAGGGCAACAGUUAGUGUUAAUGGAUUCCAAGAGUAAGUUGGUUAUGAAAUUAACAGAGUUAGAGUUUCUGUUAGAUUGAAUUUGACAAUUGGAAUGGUCAAUGAAGUGGCAUUUAGGAACUGUUAUGACAUGUUGGUGAGGUUAGGAUUGAAGUGAAUUAGUGUAGUUCAAGUGUUGGUGAAUGUUUGUGAUGUUGUUGUAAUGCUUAGUUCAAAGAUAGGAAACUGCUAGUGUUGUUGCAUCAUGUUCAUGUGUUGUUAUGUGAACAUGUUAUAGGAAUUGGACUUGUUUUUUAGGGUUUAAAAUGGGACUGUGAUGCUGAAAUUAAGCUGAAAAUUGAAAAAUUAGCAGGUGUAACCGGUUACCGGGUUUUGUGUAAUCGGUUACUAGAAUGAAAAAAGGUGUUCUGGGUUGCUGAAUAAGUUGAUGAAACACAUGUGUAACCGGUUACCAGGUUUUGUGUAACCGGUUACCAUAAUGCAAACAUGCCUCUGGGUGUUGGAGAAAUACAUGUAGCCGGUUACUAAAAUGAAAACUUGGCUUUCUGGUGAGCUGAAGUAGGUGUAACUGAUUACCAGGUUAUCAACUCAAAAAUUGGCCCUUUUUAGUGUUUUGGUGCAUUGACUCAUGUGUGAAGCAUAAGGUUUUGGCCUUUUUCUCAAUGUACAUGUGAUUUUGCAGGGUUGGUGUUAUAUGUUUGUCGUGAAGCAUUAUCUAUGAAGGUUCAGCAAGAGGUGUGGAUUUGACAAGAAGAUAGACCAGGGCUUAGGAUAGGUUGACCUUGGUAAACUAUUUGACCAAAAAGUCAACAGUUGACCAAAGGUCAACUGUAAGUCAAAAAGAUGAAAUUUUGUAUGCAAAUUUGUAAUUUGGAUCCUUUGUAAUGAAAUAGAUUUUGAAAUGAAAGGUGUAUGUAAAUUUUGUUUCAAGAAAGCAAGGUUCCCUUCCAAAUUUACAUCUCUGAAUAUUUGAAUUUGCCUUGAAUAUGACUUUGAAUGAACCUAGAAUUUGAAUUUCUUGAUCACUUGAAUGAAGUGAUAUGCCAUGGAUCAAACAAAUCAAAGCCCAAGAUAAUCAUUAUCUUCCAUAUACUAUGCCAUGAUGUAAUCAACACAACCACAAGCAUAUACCGAAGAUUAAAGUUCCACAAACUUGAUUUACAAGAAAUGAAUCAACCAUCAUUGUUGUGCCAACAUCACUUUUGUAUCAUAAUUAUCAAAACUCUUGAAUCAAUGAUGUUUAUAUGAAGAAUGAAUGCAUAUGGCAUGGGCAUGCAAAUGAACUGAGGAAAGAAAUGAAUCAACCAUCAUUGUUGUGCCAACAUCACUUUUGUAUCAUAAUUAUCAAAACUCUUGAAUCAAUGAUGUUUAUAUGAAGAAUGAAUGCAUAUGGCAUGGGCAUGCAAAUGAACUGAGGGUUAAAAGUCAGAUGAAAAAUGAAAAAGGGAGGACAAAUUUUGGGGUAUGAUAGUUGCCCAUAUUUAAUCUUCUUUGACCUGUAUGUACGAAUGGUGAUGACCGUUCGGGAACUUAAGGUAGAAGAGGAUUAAGGGCUCAUUUGUUUUGGCUUUUUUUAAAUGAUUUUUAUAGUGUUACAUAUUUUAGUGUAAAAAAAAUUUACAAAGAAACUUUUCAUAAAAGUUUCAAAUUAAAAUUUGGUUUGAAUAGUUAUUCUUAAAAUAUUAUUUUAGAUAUUUUAUCAUUUUAUCGAAACUUUUUUUGGAUAUCAAAUUUUCAAAAAAUCACUUAAUUUUGAAGCUAUUUCAAUUAGCUUUUCAUAAAAAUCAUUUUUAAGAUACACUUUUUUGAAAAAAAUUUGUGAUUUCGACUAUGUUUUGAUAUUCAAUAAUAUAUAUUUAUGUUAUAGAAUGAACAAUUCAAUCUUUUAAUUUAUAAAAAACAAAUUUAAAAAACUUAUAAUAUUUUAAAAGACAUUUUUGUAGAAUCCAUUUUCAAAAAUACAAAGAAAAAAUCCAUUUUUUUAAAGUUAAAACAAAUUGGCCCUAAAUACAAGAAUAUCCAAAAAUUUGUCUGUGAGGAUGGAGUGAAUGAGGUGUGAGGAAGGGAAGUGUAUUGGGUAUUUGUUUAUGACAGGUAAACUUUUGUGAUGUCAUCUGAUGGGGAUUGAAUGAAAUAUUAUGUUGGGGAAAUAACUUAGUCGCAAGGGAAAUGUUUGAUAUGCAUGAUAUAUGUGUAAUACCCCAAAAUUUACCCUUCAUUCUUCUUGGAAGCAUGAGAUUGUGUUUCACAUUGCAUUAGCAUCAUACUAGGUCAUACUCAUUGCAUAUUGCAUUAGUGACUUGGGAAAUCAGGGUUUUAUUGAUCACUCCUCAACAGAAGGAGCCUACACAGAGCAAGACUGAGAAUUUAACUUCAUUCUCCAAUUAUACAAGUCUCAAAGAGUUCCAUAUGUCUUAUUAUGUUCCUCAGUUCAUCAGUGGGAGAUUCAGAACUCUCAGAGUGUGCAUAUGGAGUUAAUCAGAAAUCAGGGUUUCAAGUUGUGGCGGAAAUUGGGUUGGAGAGAAGCGUAAUCGAAGAUUUCUUUGGCGAGAAGAGGGUCUGAUUGGGAAGCAAUGAGUUUCUGGACUCUGGUUGGAGAACCGAUUGGAGAAGAAGAAGAAGAAUGGAAUUGGUGUUGCAGUGAAGAAGAAGAUGAUGAGAAUACGCCAUUUGAAGCAAUGGUUCUUAGAUUUUUUGAUAACACUGUAAACGAUCGGUGCAUCGUUUUUUCAGAUAACUGACAACAGAGUGAAUGAGUGAAUGAGUGAAGCAAUGGUUUGGCGGCGAGUAGCGAAUCUGUGGGUGGGUGGGUUAAACAUAUUCCUUCGUUCCAACAACAAACAACUAUACUAUUUAUUUAUUUAUUUAUUUAUUUAUUUAUUACGCCCAAUAAAAUAAUAAUAAUAAAAAUAAAUAAAUAGAACCUAAAACCCAUCACUCUCUCUCACUUCGUUUUUUCCGCUUCCAUCUCUAACCAACGCAACCACCACCGUCUUCUCCUCUGUAAGCUCUUCCAUUCUUCAUCACUUUUUCUUUAAUAUAGAUUUUACUAUUAUUAAUAUACUCUGCAAUUUAUCUCAACUAGUUAUGCUAUUACUAUACCCUUCAUCAAAUCAAACCUUCAUCAGGGUUUAUCUUUCUUCAUAAAUCUCAUCAUUUUCUACCAAAAACUAUCUUCAGUUAUUCAUUAUAUCCUUUAGGAAUCUAGGUGUUGUUAAUUAUUCUUGAAACAAACCAAGAAAUCUCUAUUUGAUGGGGUUUUGGGGUUUGAUUUGACAGCUCUAGGGUUUUGUCAUUUUGUGCUUAUGAUUUUGUUUUUUUUGUUAUUGUGCUUGGCUGGGAUUUUGAUCUCGUUGGAGAUUUUCCUGCAAAGACACAAUCUUUCAUUGUUUUGUUGAUUGGGCACAAAUCAUAUUUUGAAGGUGUUCCGGUGAGGUGAGUAUCCGGUGGUCCGUGUAUGACAUGUGUCGAUGUCAAUAUGUGUGGUUACUUCCGUUACUUUCAUUUUUAAAAAAAUUCUUAUUGGUGCUUUGUGUUUCAAUCGGUGUUUCGUAGGGGGAAAUUGAGUGGUGUUUUAGAGUAUGUCUUUAGGACUGGUUAUGAAAGAAUUUUUGUUUUAUGAACAGCAAUUGAUCGUUAGAAUAUUGACUUCGAGCAUAAAAUGAGGUCAUUUUGUUAGGUAUGAUGUUUUGAUUGUAAACUUGGAGCUUCGAGUGAAGAGCAGAGAGUUACAAUCUUGCUUCUUCUCAUACAGCUCCAUAAAACAAUAGCCGUUUAUCAAACAGGAAUGAAACCAAUUUCAUUCUUUUUGUAAAUUUUUAUGGCAUAAAUUCGUUUGACAUUAUCAACAACAUUGGUAUUAAAUCAGUUUACGCAGAUGAUAGUUGAAGGUUUUCGCUAGUAUUUUUUUCUUCACCAAAGUUUGAACUCUGGUCCUUUAAUCCUUUGCUCAAACCAGUUAAACUACCCAACCUAUGAAAUAAGCAAAGAUAAGUGUUAGAAACUAAGACCUGGCAAGCUAAACAAUAAAUGCUUGGACGCAAAGAUAAGCGUUAGAAUUUAAGGCCUGGCAAGCGAAACAAUAAAAGCUUAGACUUAACUGCUACUGUGGGAAUGGCCACGUUCUGCUUUUUUUCUUUCUUUCUUUCUUCCUUCAGAAUUGGUAAUCUAAGGGUGUAAAUCUAUUAACACUUCUCGCACUCUUCAAUAAUUGUGUCUUGUAUAAUAAAAUAAACCACUUUAUUUUGUUAAAUAUAAAUUCUAUUAUAUUGAUUUAUUUUCAGGGCAACAAUGGCAUCCAUCUCAGCUGUGAAUAUUUCCCCACUAUGCAUGUUUCAACCCGCAAACCGCAUUCAAUCAACCAGCACUACCUUAGUGAAGUGCCCUUCCGCUUUUGGCUCUAUGAGAAGUGUUUCCAGAUCUUUUGGCUUGAAGUCAUCCUCUUCAUAUAGAACAACUGCCAUGGCUGCUUACAAGAUUAAGCUAAUUAGACCAGAUGGAGAAGAGGACGAGUUUGAAGCCGCUGAUGAUGUCUACAUCUUAGAUGCAGCAGAGAAUGCCGGAGUCGAACUCCCUUACUCGUGCCGUGCUGGAGCAUGCUCUACUUGUGCUGGAAAGGUUGUUUCUGGCUCAGUGGAUCAAUCUGAUGGCUCAUUCUUGGAUGAUACUCAACUUAAGGAAGGCUUUGUGCUUACCUGUGUUUCCUAUCCCACAGCAGACUGUGUUAUCCAAACUCAUAAGGAAGGUGAUCUCUACUGAGAAAUUGUGGCUUGAAAGUUAAAACCAUUGCUCGAGGAAACUGAGAAUUUAAGGUAGAUUUUAUGGCGGAUUUUGCUUUAGAAUCUAUCUUUCUUUUAGCAUUAUUAAUAGUGAUAUGGGAUAAUGGAUAUUUGAUUGUGUGCAAGCACUAGUUUUUAGAAGAUGGUAAGUUUGACAUUUAAAUGUGAUCAAGGGUGUUAUUUUAGUUAUGAAGAACAUAAUGAAGUAUUUGGAGGAAGAAACAACCUUUCAUAAUUGGUAGAGAAAUUUCACUUUCUUGUUAAAAUAAACAAAAUCUAUCUUGUUAUAUCAAUUGUCAAUAGCUGCUAUUUUAACUUACCUCAACUUAUUUCAUUAAUUGAAAGAUGUGGCAAUUUUCAACUAGGGAAUAAGUUGUUAUAGUUUAUUUUUUCAGUUGGUUUAAAUUAAGUUAAAUAUAUAAAUAACCUGCAUAACUCAAUUUAAAUAGUAACUAUUUUUUGAUACGAUUAACAGUGAAAAAGCUAGCAAAUUUGAAGAUUUGAUAUUAUUGUCCUUUGCAAUGUUUACCGUGUGAUUAAAAAUUCAAAUCAAAUUGAAUCAAAUAUAUGGAUUAGUUUGAUUUUUAAAAUCAUUUUGAUAAGAUUGAUUUAUUUUUUUUAUGUUUGGAUCGGUUUGGUUAAUAACCGGUUUUAAAUAGAUUUUGAUUUUAAUCAAAAUUAUUUAAUUUAAUUUAAAUUUUAUUUUCUUUAAAUUAAUAUUAAUUUUUAAAAUUUAAAAAUAUAAAUAAAUUUUAUGAGAUUUUAAAAUAUUAUUUCUUUUAAAAUUUAAAAAACAUAAAAAAACAAAUUUUUUAGAAAAGAAAAUUGAAAAUAAUAAAAUUAUUUUCUGAAAGUUAUUCCAGAAAUAAUAAAAUAAUUUAAAAUCGAAAAUUAUCUUUAAAAAGAAGUUAUUCCAAAAAAUAAAAAUAACUGAAAAAAAUUUAUUUAAAGAAAAAUAGAAAUGGGAAAUAAAAAAAUUCUGAAAAUAAAAAAUAAUUUUUAUUCUGAAAUUAUAAAAAGUUUUAAAAAAAAUUGAAACUAAAAGUUUUUUUAUUCUGAAAAUUUGAAAAAUUAACCUUUUUGAAAAUUAAAAAAAAUAUCAAAACAAUUUAUUUAAAAAGAAUCUAAUUUUUUUUACUGAAAAAAAUAUAAAAUAUUUUUUAUUUAGAAAAAAAUAAUAAUUUUAUUUGAAAAAACAUAUCAAAUAUAAUUUUUUUCAAAAAAAUUCUGAAUAUAAUAUUUUUCGUGAAAAAUAUUUUUAAAAUAAUAAAAUUUAAAAGUAUUUAAAAUAUAAAAUUAAUUUUAAUGUGAUAAAAUAUGAAAAGAGAUAAAAAUAAAAAUUUAAGUAAAAUUUGGAUAUCCAAUAACAAAAUUAAAUUUUUAUAAUGGAUAACGGUAUCCAAAUUUUUAUUUUAAUAUUUGAUUUGAUUUUUUAAAAGUGGAAUAAUUUGGAUACUAAUUUGAUUAUGAAUAAUCGAUUUUUUGCACACCUUAUAUAUUAUAGUCAUUUUUCUUGCUAACUAAAUAUUUAUUUUCACAGCUUAUAAGAUAUUUUGCCAUGUCAGCAUCUUUGUAAUAAAUUAUACGAAUUAAUAAAAAGGCAUAAAAAUAAUGAUUUCGAACCACAGGUCAAAUUUAAGAAUCUAUUACUAGUAAAAUAAGUGUUAACAUCUUAUACCGUCCACUUGAAAUAAUUGAUUUAUAAUUAGUUUUAUAAAAAUAAAAUAUUUAAACACUAAUAUAUUUUACUCCAAAAAAUAUAAUAACAUAUAUAACAAAUUAUUUAUACAAUAGCAACUAAGUUUUAUUCCACUAAUGUGGUCUUAUCUUUUGGACUAUAGUUUUUUUUUUAAGUCUUUCUCUGUAUCCAAGUGUUUGAUUCAAGUACAUUUAACAUAUCUUCUUUAGAAAAUUGCGUAAGACACCGUAAAGAUGGUUACUAUACUUUUGUGAAAAAAUAAAAAUAUUUUUAAGAUUCAGAGAUGUAUUUUUAGACGUUCCCAAAUAUAUUUGUUCCUCAGUCUGAUCUUAAGACUAUGUAAAAAAAUUACGGAAAUUAAUCUUCCUAUAAAUUAUGGAGAUGCUUCUCUUAACACUAUUUUAAUAAAAAAUACGUCAGAUUCUUUCUCCUUCCUCGCUUCUUAAAAUACUCUCUCAACUCCUAUUCUCUCAUAGUCAUUCAACUCACUUUAAAUUUUCUUUCAUCAACAUCAAAUCGAUCAAAGAGCUUACUCAACAUCAAACUAAACUCACAAUUGAUAAGUUUAUAAUUUUUCUAUUUUUUUAUUUCUAUAUACAUUUGUAGGAGUUGAACAUUAAGUUAUGUAAUAUGUAAUUUAGAUAUGUUAGUGAAAUGAAUAAUGUGUUUAAUAGAUAGUUUAAAUGAUCAAUGCAUUAUUUUGGAUGUUGGUAUAAACUGCAUUUCCGCCAUUAACUUAUGGAGAUGCAUCUCUAGAUUUUUUCAAUGUUUUGAUUUCUAGAAUCUAGAGAUGUAUCUGCCGAAACUUUUUCAGUUUGCUUUGUUUGGCUGAUCUCAUUGUGUUUCAUAUGUAUAAUGCUUGUGUGAUUUACUUACAGACAAUAUGGUUGAUAACCUAGAUAGAUUGAGGCAUAACAGAGUUGCACAUCAUGCAUAGAGGGAAAAAGCUUGAUCAUCGCAUGCACCUGUUAUUUUUAGCCCGAUUGAUGCGAGGGCGUCAACUUCUGAGGCUCAUGCAUUUCUACCUUACAUGUGUCACCUACUCAGACACCUGAGGCACUGGAGGCACCUGAGGCACACGAGGGAUUUGGAGGAGGUCCGUCAGACUUAUUACUCCCGCGUCUAUACCCGAACCAUGAUGCCAGACAUGUCUAGGACGAAAAGGUAAAAUUAAGUUGUAUUCCUUCUUUGAAAUAUCAUUUUUAUAAUAUUCGAAGUUUUCGACGAUGAGUUAUUUUCCUGCAGGACCAUGAUGCUUUAAAAUUUAAAUGAUAGAGGGGAAGAAUCAAGCCGCCAAACCUUGGGGCUUUGAUUCUCCAAUGCAAGAGCUACAUUAUGGUAUCAAGAUUCAAGCAAACUGAGGCGAAAGAAAAUUCACCGACAUGCAAGAUAGAGGUUUGUCUUGGAAAUUGUUGAAAUCUAAAGGUGCUGAAGAUGAAGAAAACCAGAGGUAUGCUACUUUGAACCUUCAAUCUUCUGCUUCUGCAAUGAACUUCUUCCUCCUCAAGAAUUAAUUACGUAAAAUUAUGAACUAGAUUAUUGUUGCUAUUGUUGAUUGUAUGAGUAUAACAAUAGUAUGGAGUGUAGAAGGUUUAGCUCAAAUGGUGACAAACUUCAAUGUGAAGCUUGCUCCAAUGGUGGUAGAGCUUUGGUGAGGCGAGGGAGAUAAAUUGAGAGAGACAAUUUUGAAUUUAUAGUGGAAUGUUUAGAGAAUGAAUGAUUAUGGUGAUUGUUGUUAUCGAUGUUAUUGGUUGAAGAGUGUGGUGAGUUUAUAUAGAUGAAUUUCCCAACUGUUUCGGGCAUCUCUGUUAGAGGUUAGGGCAAUAGUUAAUGUUAAUGGAUUCCAAGAGUAAGUUGGUUAUGAAAUUAACAGAGUUAGAGUUUCUGUUAGAUUGAAUUUGACAGUUGGAAUGGUCAAUGGAGUGGAAUUUAGGGACUGUUAUGACAUGUUGGUGAGGUUAGGAUUGAAGUGAAUUAGUGUAGUUCAAGUGUUGGUGAAUGUUUGUGAUGUUGUUGUAAUGCUUAGUUCAAAGAUAGGAAACCGCUAGUGUUGAUGCAUCAUGUUCAUGUGUUGUUAUGUGAACAUGUUGUAGGAAUUGGACUUGUUUUUUAGGGUUUGAAAUGGGACUGUGAUGCUGAAAUUAAGCUGAAAAUUGAAAAAUUAGCAGGUGUAACCGGUUACCAGGUUUUGUGUAAUCGGUUACUAGAAUGAAAAAAGGUGUUUUGGGCUGCUGAAUAAGUUGAUGAAACACAUGUGUAACCGGUUACCAGGUUUUGUGUAACCGGUUACCAUAAUGCAAACAUGCCUCUGGGUGUUGGAAAAAUACAGGUGUAGCCGGUUACUAAAAUGAAAACUUGGCUUUCUGGUGAGCUGAAGUAGGUGUAACCAAUUACCAGGUUACCAACUCAAAAAUUGACCCUUUUUAGUGUUUUGGUGCAUUGGCUCAUGUGUGAAGCAUAAGGUCUUGGCCUUUUUCUCAUUGUGCAUGUUAUUUUGCAGGGUUGGUCGUGAAGCAUUAUCUAUGAAGGUUCAGCAAGACGUGUGGAUUUGACAAGAAGAUAGACCAUGGCUUAUGAUGGGUUGACCUUGGUAAACUAUUUGACCAAAAAGUCAACAAUUGACCAAAGGUCAAUUGUAAGUCAAAAAGAUGAAAUUUUGUAUGCAAAUUUGUAAUUUGGAUCCUUUGUAAUGAAAUAGAUUUUGAAAUGAAAGGUGUAUGUAAAUUUUGUUUCAAGAAAGCAAGGCUCCCUUCCAAAUUUACAUCUCUGAAUAUUUGAAUUUGCCUUGAAUAUGACUUUGAAUGAACCUAGAAUUUGAAUUUCUUGAUCACUUGAAUGAAGUGAUAUGCCAUGGAUCAAACAAAUCAAAGCCCAAGAUAAUCACUAUCUUCCAUAUACUAUGUCAUGAUGUAAUCAACACAACCACAAGCAUAUACCGAAGAUUAGAGUUCCACAAACUUGAUUCACAAGAAAUGAACCAACCAUCACUGUUGUGCCAACAUCACUUUUGUAUCAUAAUUAGCAACACUCUUGAAUCAAUGAUGUUUAUAUGAAGAAUGAAAUUGUAAAUGAAUGCAUAUGGCAUGGACAUGCAAAUGAACUGAGGGUUAAAAGUCAGAUGAAAAAUGAAAAAGGGAAGGCAAAUUUUGGGGUAUGAUAGCUGCCCCUAUUUAAUCUUCUUCGACCUGUAUGUACAAAUGGUGAUGACCGUUCGGGAACUUAAGGUAGAAGAGGAUUAAGGGCCCGUUUGUUUUGGCUUUUUUUUUAAAAUGAUUUUUAUAGUGUUACAUAUUUUAGUGUAAAAAAAUUUACAAAGAAACUUUUCAUAAAAGUUUCAAAUGAAAAUUUGGUUUGAAUAGUUAUUCUUAAAAUAUUAUUUUAGAUAUUUUAUCAUUUUAUCGAAACUUUUUUUGGAUAUCAAAAUUUCAAAAAAUCACUUAAUUUUGAAGCUAUUUCAAUUAGCUUUUCAUAAAAAUCAUUUUUAAGAUACACUUUUUUGAAAAAAUUGUGAUUUUGACUAUGUUUUGAUAUUCAAUAAUAUAUAUUUAUGUUAUAGAAUGAACAAUUCAAUCUUUUAAUUUAUAAAAAACAAAUUUAAAAAAACUUAUAAUAUUUUAAAAGAAAUUUUUGUAGAAUCCAUUUUCAAAAUUACAAAGAAAAAAUCCAUUUUUUAAAAGUUAAAACAAAUUGGCCCUAUAUACAAGAAUAUCCAAAAAUUUGUCUGUUGAGGAUGAAGUGAAUGGGGUGUGAGGAAGGUAAGUGUAUUGGGUAUUUGUUUAUGACAGGUAAACUUUUGUGAUGUCAUCUGAUGGGGAUUGAAUGAAAUAUUAUGUUAGGGAAAUAACUUAGUCGCAAGGGAAAUGUUUGAUAUGCAUGAUAUAUGCAAAGUAUGAUUUUUUUUUUAUGAUGCAUGAAUAUGGAAAAGUUUGUAUAUAUGAUGUGUGUGCAAAGAAGCAAAAUCCUAGAAGAGGAAAUUACAAAAAAUGAAAAAUAAAAGUAAAUGGAAAUGGGAAAUUUAUAUGAAUUUCCAUUGGUUUCAACAUAGGCUAUCACCCCUCUAAGAUAUGGGUCUCAACACUUUGCUUCGGUUGACGAUGAUUGGGUCGAUUUGUUGUCGUCUGAGAUCUAGUUGUGAUGAAGUAGGCUCAAGGUUGCAGCCAAAUGCCUUUCUCCCUAACUUUUUCCUGAACAUUUUACUCUUUUUUUUGUCCACCGGGAUACCCAUUUUUUCCCUUUCGUAAGGAGCAUUAUGGAACAACAAGACAACCUAAGUGCAUCGUCGUCCUCUCACGGGGUUCCCAUCCAACCAUGACGGGUGGGGGAUCUUCCUCAUAGCAUGGUGAUUCUCAAGGUCCCAUCCAUCAACCAGGGAACUAAGAACCCUUUUAGAUAUCUUUCGGUGGCCGUCUAGAGGCAGUCAAAGGUUAUUCUUAAUAGAAUGAUUGUUUGAUAUGGGUCGAAUAUGAGUCAAUAUCCAACGACAUCCACUAAGCCUUAAGGGACAAAUACAAUCCCACCAAACCCAUAUAUUCUUCCAAUAGAAGGCGUUCACUCCAUAGGCCCCAUAAACAUUAGGAUCGUCAUUAAGGAUGAUACGGAGGAUCAUGGCUCAAGAGACGAUUCAUUGUUCUAACAAAAAAACAACUAAUCCCUACGAUCAUGUGGAUACUGUGUCGAUAUCAUCCUCACAAUUUGAAAUCCGAAGGGACCUGUCAAAUGCAAGAUUUUCAUUUGUACUGUAGAAGUAUUCCUUAAAACUUUUAGGUGAUGAAGAGAAAAAAACCAAAAAUCAGAAAGCCAAAAAGCACUCUGGUUUGGGCAGUUUGCGGGUAUCAGGUUUGGUCAGUUCAGUUCAUAGAUUCAUUCAUCAAUGUUAGGAUAUUCUAUCUUAAUUUAGAGAUACUCUAAGAUACUCUAAAUUAAUAUAACAUAUAUUAUACAAUAUUUAUAAUAUUUAAAUUAAUAUAAAAGAUAUUAUAAUAUAUCUAUAAUAUUGUUAUUCUAAUAGUUAUUGGGUUAUGUUUUUGGCCCAUUAAAGAUCUGUUGGGUUUGAGCAGAUAUAAAUAUGUAUCUUUAUCACUCUUAUCUUCAUAACCUUCAAAACUUUAUUAGCUGAAGACAUAGAAAAGAAUUUGAGAAUCCUAGUGGUAAACUUAGAAAAUGCAAGGGUUAAAAUUUCUUGGAGUUCUUUGAAUUUGGAAAGCCUUUGGAGGUAUUUAAGGGAUCUGGGAAAUACUUCUAAACACCUUGGGCUUGUGUGAUAAUAUAUUGAGAGUUGGAGAGAAUAGGAAACACUUGGAUAGAAAUAAGGUUUUGUUUGUGGUAACUCAAAAGGCUUUUUCUUGUAUCUCAUUUGUAAUCUCUUGUAACAACUUUUGGAAGUAUACUGAAUCAUAGAGCUUAUCUAUCCCUCAAAGUAGAUCGUUUGAUCAAAUUGGGUAAACAAAUUAUUAUGUUCUUGUCUUUUAUCUUCUUCUGGCUUGCAGUCGUUUUGGUUCCACUUUUGGCCGGUCAUUGUGUUUCUCUAGGCCAUUUAUUUUGGUUGUCAUCGUUUUUUGUCUCCACAUAUCGAAUUUCUAGGCGUGUUUAAACUCUGAGUAAUUCUUCUUAAUUGUUUUAAGUUAUUAUACUAGUUUUUCACAACAAGUGGUGCCCACCGUGGAUCAAGGGGGGAGUGGGGCAUUGUUUACAAGUGUACACCAUGGGUAAAUAAGAGAUAGAUAAAUUUUCUACAAAUAACGAUUUUGGGUUGUGAAAACUGAAGAUGCAAGCAAUAUUAACUAAAGAUAAGUUUAUUUAAGCAUUGAAGCGCGAGGAAUGGAUGCCUCCACACCUAACACAAAUAGAGAAGACCAAGAUGGUAGAUAAGGCCAGAAGUGCCAUUAUCUUGUGCCUCAGGGAUAAAGUUCUAAGAGAAAUCUCCAGAGAGAAAGAUGCAGUUUCAAUGUGGGCACAACUUGAAUAAUUGCAUAUGACCAAGUCUUUGGCUCACAGGUUGUGUCUGAAACAACAACUCAACUCAUUUCAAAUGGUAGAGGACAAAUAGUGGAGCAGUUGACAUAAUUUCAUAAGAUUAUUGAAGAUGAGGACAAAGCUCUACUCCUGUUGAUCUCAUUACCCAUAUCAUUUGAUCACUUUAAGGAUGCCUUUAUUUAUGGUAAGGAGGGUAUUAUGACUUUGGAUAAAGUUCAAACAAAUGUGAGGUCUAAAUAAUUUUCAAAGGUGAAAUAUUUGAAGAUUGAUGAUAGCGAUGAAUAAUUGAGUGUAUAAAGAGGAUGAAGAGAGGGUAGAGGGAUGUCUAAAUCAAAUAGGUUUGACAAGUAAAAUUAAAAUGUUUUACUUGUCAGAAACCAAGCCACUUCAUGAGGGAAUGUUCUGAGAGUAUGGGCAAUGAUGGUUCUAUUUAUAAUGAAGUUUCCUCAGAUCAGGAUAGUUAUGAGAGUGUUGGUGCAUUAUUGGUGUCGAGUUUGGAGGCCGAAGAGAGUUGAGUAAUGAACUCAAAUUUCUCUGAUCACAUGUGUCCAAUAAAAUAAUAUUUUUAGACUUUGAAGCUAAAGCAAGAUGGAGUAGUUAUCCUUUGUAAUAAUAAGACUUGUAAUGUUUAUGGUAAUUGUAUAGCCAGACUUUAAAUGUUCAAUGAUCGUGAGUUUUUUCUUAACAACGUGGGGUAUAUUCCAUAACUCAGGAAAAAUUUGUUAUCCAUAAGCAUAUUUGAUGAUCUAGGAUAUUGCACUAGAGUUGAACCUGGGGUGUUGAAGAUUUCUCAUGGUGAAGUGAUCAUAGUUAAAUGAUCUAAAAUAUGUUGUUUAUAUAUUUUAUUUGGUUCUAAUGUUGUUGUUCAGUCAUCAUCAACUAGUAAAGACUUUCGUGAUAAGAACAAGCUAUGGGAUUUGAGAUUAAGACAUGGUAGAUACCUGGAGGUUGUUUCAGAGCACUUUAAUGAGUUUUGCAUAAAACAAUGAUAAAUAUGCAUUUGGACACUAAGUUGUCAUUGAGUUUUUGGGGUAAGGAUGGUGCCAAAAUAACUUACUUGGCCAAUAUGUGUUCAUUUAUAUGAAUAUAAUUCCAAACACUUAUGGUGGUUUGUAGUAGGAAAUCUGAAAACUACUCUUAUUUGAAGGUUGCCAAAACUUUGUUUAUUGAUCAAAUCAAGCCUGAUCGCCUUGAUGGUAAAGUUGUAGAUUGUUUCUUCAAUGACUAUCCAAAAGGAAGGAAGGUUUAUGAAUUUUUGGAUGUAUAACUUAGAGGAUUGAAUUUCAUCAAUCACAAAUGUAUUACUUUUAGUGACUCCUGUCAGGAGAAGAAGAGUAAAAGCCUUAGGAUGAAGACUUUAGAAACUAUGGUGGAGAAAACUCAGUUUGAGGUGGAGUUCCUACUAUGGAUACUAGUAAUAAUGAGGAAACAAUUACAAAAGCCUUUGGUUAUCAUUUGACUCGUGAUAAAAUAAAGAAGGAGAUUGUACCAUCUUAAAGGAAGGAUUAUGCUGGCCUUGGGUGUUAUGCUUUGAAUGUGGCCGAAGGGUUGCCAAACUCAAAAACAGAAACCUUCACCGUGGCAUUCAAAAAUAGGUGAAGUCAAAGAUAAUUGAAGAACCAUGCUUGUGAGCUUGUUAGACUACUAACACAAAAAAAGGUGAUUGGAAGAAAGUUGAUGCACUUGGAGAGGUCAAGGUUCAAGGAUGCCUUGAACUUGAUCAAGGUUGUUAAAUAAUGUUUCAACAUGGUAUAGUGCAUCAAGGUGGUUGAUGGAUAAAUUGACUUCAUUACAGUUUCAAGUCAAGGAGGAGAUUGUAGAAGUAUGUCUUAAAACCUUUGAGUGAUGAAGAGAAAUAAAACAUGUUUCGAGAUUGCCAUAAAUUAAAAAGUUAAAAAGCAAUAUGAUCUAGGUGGUUCGUGGGUAUCGAGUUUGGUUAGUUCGAUUCAUGGAUCUGUUAAUUAAUGUUGAUUUAGAGAAACUCUAAGAUACUCUAAAUUAAUAUAAAAUAUAUUAGAGGAUAUUUAUAAUAUUUUAAAUUAAUAUAAAACAUAUUCUAAAAUAUUUAUAAUAUAUUUUUAAUAUAACACCCUAAACCUCAAAAUUUAUAUAAAAAUGUUUAAUCGACAAUUUAAGGUGUCACCAACGAUCAACACCAAAAACUCAUCAAAAACAUGUGACAAAACGCAUAGGAAUUCAUAUCAUAACAACUUCAUUUUAAACUUCGUAAAUAAAGUAUUGGACUUUAAAGCACAUAAUUCAACAUUAACUCAAAGCAUAACAAAAAAACACCAUGUUGCCGAUGUUACAAGAUCAGAGAACUAAAACCACUAAAUUGCGAUAAAGCGUCAAAUAAAAUGAAGAAUAACUCCAACAAGCCACCUUCCACACACAACAACAACUUUAUUCCUGAUUAUUUGCAAGAUGUCCACGGCGGACAACAUUAAGCAAAAGGUGUGAGAAAUAAACUUCGAUAUAAAUGGUGUAAAUAUGCAAAGGUAGAGAAACACACAAUAUAUCAUACAUUCAAUGCACAAUCAACAUCACCAUAAUCUCACACCUGUUCAUAAUAAUAUUCAAAUAUAUGUAAUGCGACUCGUGAUACUAUGCAUAUGGUACCAACUCAACAUUUGGUUUUCUCAUGAAUCAGGUUCCCCCUUCUGAACCCAUGAGCCCCUCCUUAUGAGCUUAGGAAAAAACCCUAGUCCCUCCUUCUGAAUUAGCGAACGUGCCUCUUUCAACAACACGACACAAUGAUGCAUGUCCAUACAAAUCAAUACAACAACAAUAAUAAUGCUUACGGUCCCUAUUCUAACCAUAAAUAACAUGCAUUGACACACAAUAGUAAGUCCCUCUUAUGAAUUACUAUCAUCCAAUAAUAACAAUAAUACUCACCAUCAAUACAUAAUUAAUCACCAUAUAAUCAUGCAUUUCAUAACAAUACGAGUCAUAUUCACAUCAUACAACAUCACCAAACAACAGAGCCACAUCGAAUACACAUCCACACAACACUCAAUCAUGUUAAAUCAUCUUCACAUUAAUUCAUCAUUAAUUCAUUCAUUUGCAUAAAUUAAUCAUUUGUUCGUUAUUGUUAACUAUUGUGUGACAAGUGAAACUAUUAAAUUUUCACAAUUUCCAGCAUCCAUAUAGCCUCUUAAUACAUCACUAUUGGAUAGCCAUAUGUGUUAUAUUUCCAAUGCUUUAAACUGCACCUCAUUUGGAUUUAUGGAACUAAAAUUAUGGAAAAAGAAAUUAGAUAACAUAAUAGGAUUCAACUCAAUAAUUUUUCAAAAUUCAACUAGCAUCAAUCAAUUGACAUAUGGGGACAAUCGUUUGACAUUAAUCCCCAUUACAUUCUACCUUUUCCAAUUUUUCACAUUUUGGCUGAGAAUAAUCGAUUGACUUAGGAAAUUAAUCGAUUGACAUAGUUUAAUUUUUUAUAGAUAUUUCUAAUUUUUCACGUGUGCAAUCGAUUGACACGGGAUGUCAAUCGAUUGACAUCACCCCAAAUUCUAAAAAUCUCAGUUUUUCACACGUUAACUUCAUCUUCCCCAUUCCCUAUCCCUCAUACACCAAAUCAUUUCUCAUUAUAAAUAUUCAAACACAUCAUAUCAUGAAUUUUACAGCAUAUAACAAUCUCAUCACAAUUAAACAUGUUAUAGCAUACAAAUUAAGUCAUGAUUCAUAACAAUUGUACACAUAAUUUAUUAAUCACUUUCAUCAAAAUCAUGUUUAUGUUCAAAUUUUCAAAAUUCUAACAAUAAUAUAAAAUCACACACACAUAAACAAAAUAGUAGACACACGAGUUUAGUCAUGAAAACUAGAUAAUCAGGCCUUCAAUAAUCAAUUUUCAGAUCAACACAUAACAACAACGAUUAAUUAAAGAUUGUACGAAAUCCCUAAAGAGAGUAAGGGUCAAUCUUCCUUAUCUUUUAUGUCAAACGCCUAUAUAGAACCUCUUUCUAUCCCCUUACCUCAUAUUUCCAGCAAAAUUUUAAAUUAGAUUGAUGGUUUGUUCCUCCGUAUUCAAGCCAUAACCUCCCUUUUUCUUCCAAAAACUCUAUUUCAUGUAUUGACUCCUCAAAAGUCUCAUUAACCCCUUUUCAUCUCUAAAAACCUAAUUUCAUCUCUUAAUAAUUACAUUAAGGUCCAACUCUACUUAUUUUUCUCACCAUUUCCCUUUUUUUUUUCUAAAUUUUUACUUAAGACAUUUUUUCUUAUUUAUUUUAAUCAAUUAAUCAAAAAGAAUCAUAAAUUCUAAUUAUUUCCAAUUAAUUUAAUUAUUCUAUCCAUCAAAGAGUUCUCACAACACUCCACCAUACACCACAUACACAUACAGAGUGAAUGAGUGAAUGAGUGAAUGAGUGUUUGUUUCGGUGUGCGUGAGCCGAACUACGGUAGCUCUGAUUCUCGUUCCAGACGAGAUACGUAGGCAUAGGAUGCGAUAUCCUAGCGAGCCCUCUCCCCUCUUAUCCCACCUGUGUUGUUUCAGUGUGUGUGUGUGAUGUUUGUGAGCAGUGUAGCAACCUUAUCCUAUCUUUUAGAGCGUGGAUCCCGUCGAGUACGACGGAUGCGUAGGGGUGCUAAUACCUUCCCUACGCAUAACCGACUCCCGAUCCCAUUCUCUUGGUCCUGCGAGACCAUGUUCUUUCCAGGUUUACUUCGAGCGUUUCCUUUCCUCUUUUAGGAUAAAUAACGCACGGUGCGGCUCUGUGUUGUUUGUUUAGCCGCCGGUUAUUUUUCGCGGAUGCGACACUAGGUAGAAUAGGUAGAAUGAAACUCUUAACUUAGAAUAAUUACAUGUUUUAUAUAUAAAAUAAAUACAUUCAAAUGAGUCAAUGUAUUUCUUUGAUGAUAUGACAUUUUGUCAUGUAUUUGUAGUUUUAUAAAUCUCAGAGUGCAUUGAUAAAUGGAUGUAUGAAGAAUUAAUACAAAUCUUUAUAGGUAAAAUAAAACUAUAUUACACUACUUACUACUAAUUUUACUAUCUUUUUAUCUAAAAAAAUUCUAAUUUGAGAGUCUUACAUUUUUUCUUUACCCUGGAGAAACAAUUGCAGGGAAAAAGAAAAUACUUCGUAUAAAGAUUUCAUGUUCGACAUUCCUCUUAAUAGUACUUUGUAUGCUUUAAUAUAAUUUUGAAUAUCUUUGUUUAUCAUUUUCAAAGUGUAAUAAUAUUUUUUUUAAUGCUACAUACAAUAGAAAUCUCAUAAAAAGAAAAAUUUACAUUUAAUUUUCUUUGAUGUGUGCAUUAAAAAAAGCGGGCAGACGAGAGAGAUAGAGAAAGAGAGUAAAGGGAAUAUUGAUAUAACAUGAUAUUUAUUCAUAGGGGAUUUUGGUAAACAAUACGAAAGUGGUUUUUCCAUAAAAGAAAGAUGAAUAUAGGGAAUUUUGGUAAGCAAUACGAAAGUGGUUUUUCCAUAAAAGAAAGAUGAAUAUUUAUGAUUAUUACCGUUGCAUUCGAUCAUGAUUUUGGUAAAAAAUACGGGCAUCAUUACAAACAGACAUUUCCAAGGGAUCAUAUAUAUAUUUAGGAUGGAAGACUUAAUUUAGAACUCUUACUAUUUUUAAAGUAUAAUAAUAUUAUUUUUAAUAUGACGUACAAUAGAAAUCUCAUAAAAUAAACAGACAUUAAUUUUUCUCCGCUGUGCGCAUUAAAAAAAAGUGGACAGACGAGCACGGGAGUGCCCGUCUGAACGCUAGUGUGUUAUAAAAUUAAUUAGAAACAAUAUUAUCUAUAUGUGUAAUUUAUACUAAAAUAUGGAUUCUAAUUAUAAAUAAAUGGGAUAAUAAUAUGAUAAAAUUAAUCAAUUUUUAUUAGCGGUUAAGAAAACUAAUUAUUAUUUAAUAGUGAGAGCUUAUUGGGAGAUGAUUUAUUUAGGAUUCACAAUGUAUAAUAAUGUAUUAUUUAUAACACUUUCUUUUAAAUAUUUAUAGAAUCUAUGUCUCGUUAUAAUUUUAUUAAAAAAAAUUUAGUGAAAAAAUAUAAUUAAAAAAAACUACAAUAUUCUUCUGUAAUAAUUAAUUUAAGAUAUAUUUAUUUAUCCUCCUCAACUAAACGAUCUUCUCUUCGAUAAUGAAUGUCAAUCUUGUGUAUUAGUUGGUUAAAAGUNCCUCCUCAACUAAACGAUCUUCUCUUCGAUAAUGAAUGUCAAUCUUGUGUAUUAGUUGGUUAAAAGUUCUAUUUAGAAGUGAGUUCAUAUAGUGUUAAAACUUUUACAUGAUUUGACGAAGUUUUUGUUGUGGGUUUUUUCACAUAUCUCCAUGAAAUGGUUCUGACACCACAAAUAAACAAGUAAUAUGUUUGUGAUCUGGCAUUACAAGGAUCUGACAAGAAGCAUGCAUCUCUAAGGUAACAAAGUAUAUGUUUGACUCUAUUCUUGUUUCGUAUUGGAUCCAAAAAUGGAGUGGAGAUCGAAAGUGAUGGUGAUUUUGAGCUUCCGACACAGUGGAGAAGGGGUUGACCUACAAGGUUAGCACUUUAACACUCAAGUCAAUAUGUGAGGGAGAAUAGUGAAUUAAAAUUGAACUUGGCGCCUUCUCUAGAUAUAGCAGAGAGUAACAAACUCGCUAUUUGUUAAGAAUAAAAUAUGGAGAGUCGUUGGAUGUGAAUGCAGUGGAAAUCCUUUGUGAUUAUCAAGAGGAGAGUCCUUGUGUGCUGAGGAGAGUCGUUGGAUGUGAAUGCAGUGGAAAUCCUUUGUGAUUAUCAAGAGGAGAGUCCUUGUGUGCUGAAAAUAUUAUGGAAGGAUUGCAAUUCCUUCAGGGUGGUCGAUCGAGGUCAAUAUGAUCGGCCCAAAACAGUUUCCCCUUAAGCAUCUGUCUAUGCAUAGCAAGGCAAGGGUUUCUUACUUCAGCCUCAGCUAUCGACCACCCUUGCAUCUACGCUAGGAAGAGUAAAAGGAAAUGUUCUCAUUUCUUGGGGAUUCACGCAUUUAAUGCGCCAUAUUUCAAACUUCUCUUCGUAAGUGUUAUCAUUACGAAUCAUAGGGACUGAAAUACUCAAGUAUUACGUGCGAGUGAUUUGGUGCAUUUGAAAUGGUAUUGCUUAUUUUUGCAAGCUAGAGUAUAUUCUUGAAGAGUCAGUGUCACUUUUCUUUGCGUCAUUUUCUCAAUUUAACUGUUAUCUUCUUCUUUGACAUUUCACUUUUCUGCAUCAGAAAAGUUAAUGCAUUAUGAAUAAAAAAAAUCACAGAAAUGUGCAAAAAAAUCCUAGAAGAUUGUUAUAUCUUCUUGGGUGGACCUUGUCUACUCUUCUAUCGUUUUUGUCUUUGCCAAAGAUAGGAAUCUUGAUGGAGAUUUUCUUGAAGUUGGUCCAUCUUCGCAUUGGGGUGUAUUAACCCCCCAAACAAUGAUGAAAUGAUAUGUAGUGAGUAUGGAGAUUGUGUCGUUCCAUUUUAUGAAUACAUUUUCUCCAUUUACCUAGAGGUAGAAUGAAAGUGGUGAAAACUCUAUUCUAAAGAAUUCCACCUGAUGGCUCAUUCACAACUUCACCCAGGAAGCUAGGCAUAUGUGAAAUUAUACCAAUAUUGGUGUGAAUACUUACAGGGAAAGCCUUUUGUGACCCUUUUUUUUCUUCUCUUUCAAUGUCAUUAUGGUACUACGACCCAAUCAUAAAGUAAAGGGUUAAUUUCUCUGACGUCAAAUGUUCGAGACUUUGGGGUUCUUCCUGAGUUGCAACCUUUCUAGUAUCAUUUCUUUUUUGUUACCCCUAGCAACCUAUACACCCACACUUUGGUAUAUGUCGUUAUGACCAGGUGGAAGAUAGAUGCACUGAGUUGUUCCCUAAGUAUUGGACGGAAACCUGCUUACUUAUGGGAAAUGGGGUAUAUGUUUAUAAAGAGGGGGACCUUACUAUUGGAUAUAUGUAUUAGAAGAAAUGGGUGAUAAGAUUCAUCGGCGACUUGGGUUACCUUGGUGGCGGCAUACCCUCGGACGACGCUGAUCGAAGACGCUUGUAGUGUCUGUAACUACAAGUUGACGACUACCUCCGGGCAAGAGCCCUUCUUUCAAUAGUUAUUUUUGGUAAGCUUUGGAAACUCUUGGCUUCUUUGUUUGUAGUUUUUCUUACUCUUUAAGUGUUUGCUUAAUCAUGGUUGUGUGCAGAUUUAAUGAAGGAUGAAGUACAAAUUUGGCUUAUAAGGCGGGGAAUAUGGUCGACAGGGAGUGACACCGCUUUUAAUACUCUUCUGAGGUUACAAAGUGUGUCGGGUCUUCCAUCCUGUUCAUUGACAACGGGGUUGGGCUCACGUUCCUCUAAAAACUGCCAGACUCCUUCUUCAAAAGAGGAUCAUCACAUUUGGCCAAUUUGUCUAGGCCUGCUUUGGAGGAAGAAUUGGUGACUCUGCCUCGGUAUACUCUGUGUGCUUCUUCCACUUUGGCCCUUGGUGGAGUUGGUUAAUGGGAAGCUAUUUGGUUUAAUCAGUAACAUGCUGAGAAUCCAUGGUCAGAAAAGAGUGUGCAUAGCGUAACGCUUCUGUGGGAUCUGUACCUGCACGAAAUACAAAUAACUUCUACUUUUCUUAGUGAGAUAAAUGACGUUUUGGCCCCAUCAAUGCCCUUGGCUCUCUGUCUGGUCAGGUGACUCGUCUAGUGAGAAUUGUGGAAAGGAAGGACCAAGCUCAAGUUGUUGAUCAGAGAAAUUUAUUGUCUACUUAAAUAUCUAUUUCAGCAACUCAAAGAGGAUUGGAGUCUCUGUGGCUUGAGAAUGCUUCUCUGACUCAGGGUCUGGAUGACUAUGCAUCCUCCAGUGUUAAGGCAGUUUCACAAUCUUUUAAGAAUGCUUUGUAAAAAUUGGAUCACUUUCAUCAUCCUAUAGUUAUCUUGAGGGAGAAGAUUUGAUUGGAUCAGGGGCUCAAAGAUAUAGAGAUUGUCUCUCUGCUGGAAUAGCCAUGCCACCCACUUUUUUUUGUA
Molecule: long non-coding RNA, 31797 nt
Filed under: Lathyrus oleraceus (garden pea)
Lineage: Eukaryota; Viridiplantae; Streptophyta; Magnoliopsida; Fabales; Fabaceae
Description: Pisum sativum (pea) long non-coding RNA (PSAT_LNC030973)
Source: RNAcentral